This 253-nucleotide ribosomal RNA is filed under the name uncultured bacterium. RNAcentral describes it as "partial 16S ribosomal RNA". It matches the Rfam family "Bacterial small subunit ribosomal RNA", at positions 524 to 776 of the family's 1533-position model. The record is from RNAcentral.
UACGUAGGGGGCAAGCGUUGUCCGGAAUCAUUGGGCGUAAAGCGCGUGUAGGCGGUUUGGUAAGUCGGAUGUGAAAGCCCCGGGCUCAACCCGGGAAGUGCACUCGAUACUGCCAAGCUAGAGUAUCGGAGAGGUUGGUGGAAUUCUCGGUGUAGAGGUGAAAUUCGUAGAUAUCGAGAGGAACACCGGUGGCGAAGGCGGCCAACUGGACGAAUACUGACGCUGAGACUCGAAAGCGUGGGGAGCAAACAGG